Non-coding RNA from Parvimonas sp. oral taxon 393, 76 nucleotides. The record is from Rfam. Lineage: Bacteria; Bacillati; Bacillota; Tissierellia; Tissierellales; Peptoniphilaceae.
AUGCCCUAUGAUAAAGCUAUUACUAUUUCAUCAAAACAACAAUAUAACAAUAAUCAAAAUGAAGUUUUGAUAUAAU